Salmo salar (Atlantic salmon) is the source of this 54-nucleotide non-coding RNA. Lineage: Eukaryota; Metazoa; Chordata; Actinopteri; Salmoniformes; Salmonidae. The record is from Rfam.
UGAACGCAUGACUGUAAAUUGCUUUGGAGAAAAGCAUCUGCUGAAUGCCUUAUA